RNAcentral lists this transfer RNA (89 nucleotides) under marine sediment metagenome. It matches the Rfam family "tRNA". From Rfam's summary of the family: Transfer RNA (tRNA) molecules are approximately 80 nucleotides in length. Their secondary structure includes four short double-helical elements and three loops (D, anti-codon, and T loops). Further hydrogen bonds mediate the characteristic L-shaped molecular structure. tRNAs have two regions of fundamental functional importance: the anti-codon, which is responsible for specific mRNA codon recognition, and the 3' end, to which the tRNAs corresponding amino acid is attached (by aminoacyl-tRNA synthetases). tRNAs cope with the degeneracy of the genetic code in two manners: having more than one tRNA (with a specific anti-codon) for a particular amino acid; and 'wobble' base-pairing, i.e. permitting non-standard base-pairing at the 3rd anti-codon position. The record is from RNAcentral.
GCGGGGGUGGCCGAGCCUGGUCAAAGGCGGCGGACUCAAGAUCCGCUGGGCGUAGGCCCGCGUGGGUUCAAAUCCCACCCCCCGCACCA